RNAcentral lists this ribosomal RNA (18 nucleotides) under Musa balbisiana (Balbis banana). RNAcentral describes it as "partial 26S ribosomal RNA". Lineage: Eukaryota; Viridiplantae; Streptophyta; Magnoliopsida; Zingiberales; Musaceae. The record is from RNAcentral.
CCACGGACCGUGCAACCA